RNAcentral lists this transfer RNA (72 nucleotides) under Camelus dromedarius (Arabian camel). It matches the Rfam family "tRNA". From Rfam's summary of the family: Transfer RNA (tRNA) molecules are approximately 80 nucleotides in length. Their secondary structure includes four short double-helical elements and three loops (D, anti-codon, and T loops). Lineage: Eukaryota; Metazoa; Chordata; Mammalia; Artiodactyla; Camelidae. RNAcentral also lists the same sequence under 1 other name. The record is from Rfam by way of RNAcentral.
GAGGGUAUAGCUCGGUGGUAGAGUACAUGCCUAGAACACACAAGGUUCUGGGUUCAAUCCCCAGUACCUCCA